GGAAAAUAAUGCUCGCUCCCUUAAACCGGAAACAUACCCGAUUAUGGCAGUAGAUUUUGGAAAAUGCAGUCGACAGUGCGGUCUGGUUCGGUAAGCAUGAAGUGUUAUGAAGUGCCAGUUUGCCAACCUGAUCACUUGUUUAUGACAGCAGACCGUCUACUUCCUUGAUACCCUGAACAACUCCUACAGUGAAGAGGCAUUUCCUGAACAAUGGAGCGACAUCCUCGAGACACAAUAACAGAAGCUUUCUAAAGACAUGCAAACCAUGAGAUGGAAACUUGCUUUGUAAUUCACUACCAGUGACUGGCAGUCCUGAAACAGGUGGUUAGCUUAAGUAUAUUCAAAAUGAGGU
RNAcentral lists this long non-coding RNA (352 nucleotides) under Mizuhopecten yessoensis (Yesso scallop). Its description in RNAcentral is "uncharacterized LOC110465179". The record is from RNAcentral. Lineage: Eukaryota; Metazoa; Mollusca; Bivalvia; Pectinida; Pectinidae.